Chenopodium quinoa (quinoa) is the source of this 1169-nucleotide long non-coding RNA. RefSeq lists it as uncharacterized. Lineage: Eukaryota; Viridiplantae; Streptophyta; Magnoliopsida; Caryophyllales; Amaranthaceae. The transcript has 3 exons. The record is from RefSeq and is a predicted model, not a curated record.
UAUGAACCUUCAGACAAUCAGACACGAAAAUUAGAUGAUUGGCCACAUCUCAAAUUGUUACUGAAGCGACAGUAGCAGUCCAGUCUAACCAUUCUCAAAAUUUGGCCGCCUAACAUAAAUAUAUUUUAAACCGUAUUUUUAAGAACUUAUGUAUUUUGUAAAUUAAAGAAAAAAAAAAAAACCUUCCGUAUUUAUGUAAAUAUUUCCUAAUCCUAUUGGGCUUAUUAGGACUAGUAUCAUCGUAAGUUCAUAACCCUUGUUGAGUGCAGCUUGAAUUGGUGAAGACAUCAUGUCCCUCUGAUAGUUUUCUAUCAUUUUGCCUGUCUAAGUGAUAGUCAAUAUAAUACAGAAGCCAUUUUCGCACAGCAUUUCUUUGAUUUUUCAAAUUUGUUUCAUAUGUCACUGGUAGAGUACAAGUGAAAAGUUGAUUUACUCUGAGGACUCUUGAAGGGCAUCUGCAGGAGUAUGAAUAUGAAGAGGACUCUUGGCAUUUCUUGUUUCAUUAUGGAUAAGGACUUAGGGCAAUAUUUUGAUUGUAAAAGGCAUUGCUCCAUCAAAAGAUACUAGGAAGGUGGUGUAUCUGAAAUUCUGAUGUCGGUAUUGUGCUCAGAGGCAAUUAUGAUUAUGCCAUUAUGAAGGAUUGGAGGUCCUGGCUGGAGGAUAGUGAAUGAUCAGCUUGCAGAUUUGAUUAUUGAUUGAGAAGAAGGUGCUGAUACAGUACGUCUUAUUAUCAUCUGCUUCACUGACCUUAACAAAAACCUCUUGGGUUGUUCAACAUCUCUUGUGGACCUGUGGUUAUGUUUUGGGAUGAAUGUUUUCUGUGCCAAUGUUGAUUCUGCUUGGUGUUUUGUCCAAUGUAGCAUUUUGGGCAGAAGAAUAGCUUGCACCAAAGAUCAUGCUUUUGUUCUAAAGUGAUGAAUGCUAUAUGAAUUGCCUGCUAAAUGUCGAUAUCUAAAAAUUCAAAACUUAUGUUCCUGCUGUGUAUGGUUGGGGUUAGAAUUUUGGAUGCUUCAAGAUGUCUCUGCUUUGGGAUGAAUGUUGCAGACAUACUUAUACCUUGAUUUUUUUUUUCUUUUUUAUUUUAUUUUUCAUGAUAUAUGGAUACUCUUUCACUAAGUCUCCUCAAUGUGCCUUCUUGCUUCAAUGAAUGAUUGGGUCGGUUUGAUUUA